Small nuclear RNA from Loxodonta africana (African savanna elephant), 107 nucleotides. The record is from Ensembl. Lineage: Eukaryota; Metazoa; Chordata; Mammalia; Proboscidea; Elephantidae.
GUGCUCACUUCAGCAGCACAUAUACUAAAGCUGGAACGAUACAGAGGAAAUUAGCACGGCCUCUGCACAACGAUAACACACAAAUUUGUGAAGCAUUCCACAUUUUU